AUUCCUAUUGAACUGAUUCCAAACGGUAAGCCGUAUAUAUACAAAACCGCAGCUCAAGAGGAAAAACAUAAAACAAAAUCAAUAUGAUUUACCAUAAAGUGCUGGCAUCGUAAAAACAUAUAUAAGUUUUAAUGUAUGUAAAACCGAAAGCCAUUAAUAAAGAGUGAAAUUUCAAUUCACAUAGGAAAACAUGGCUUAAAAAAAAUAA
Molecule: long non-coding RNA, 208 nt
Filed under: Trifolium pratense (red clover)
Lineage: Eukaryota; Viridiplantae; Streptophyta; Magnoliopsida; Fabales; Fabaceae
Description: long non-coding RNA (TPRA_LNC000870)
Source: RNAcentral